AGUGAACGCUGGCGGUAGGCCUAACACAUGCAAGUCGAACGGCAGCACAGUAAGAGCUUGCUCUUACGGGUGGCGAGUGGCGGACGGGUGAGGAAUACAUCGGAAUCUACUUUUUCGUGGGGGAUAACGUAGGGAAUCUUACGCUAAUACCGCAUACGACCUACGGGUGAAAGCAGGGGAUCUUCGGACCUUGCGCGAUUGAAUGAGCCGAUGUCGGAUUAGCUAGUUGGCGGGGUAAAGGCCCACCAAGGCGACGAUCCGUAGCUGGUCUGAGAGGAUGAUCAGCCACACUGGAACUGAGGCACGGUCCAGACUCCUACGGGAGGCAGCAGUGGGGAAUAUUGGACAAUGGACGCAAGCCUGAUCCAGCCAUACCGCGUGGGUGAAGAAGGCCUUCGGGUUGUAAAGCCCUUUUGUUGGGAAAGAAAAGCAGCAGGUUAAUACCCCGCCGUUCUGACGGUACCCAAAGAAUAAGCACCGGCUAACUUCGUG
Molecule: ribosomal RNA, 492 nt
Filed under: uncultured bacterium
Lineage: Bacteria
Description: partial 16S ribosomal RNA
Rfam family: Bacterial small subunit ribosomal RNA
Source: RNAcentral